RNAcentral lists this ribosomal RNA (407 nucleotides) under uncultured prokaryote. Its description in RNAcentral is "bacterial SSU rRNA". It matches the Rfam family "Bacterial small subunit ribosomal RNA", at positions 355 to 776 of the family's 1533-position model. RNAcentral also lists the same sequence under 2 other names. The record is from RNAcentral.
UGGGGAAUAUUGGGCAAUGGGGGAAACCCUGACCCAGCAACGCCGCGUGAAGGAAGAAGGCCUUCGGGUUGUAAACUUCUUUUACCAGGGACGAAGAACGUGACGGUACCUGGAGAAAAAGCAACGGCUAACUACGUGCCAGCAGCCGCGGUAAUACGUAGGUUGCAAGCGUUGUCCGGAUUUACUGGGUGUAAAGGGCGUGUAGGCGGAGAUGCAAGUUGGGAGUGAAAUCCCGGGGCUCAACCCCGGAACUGCUUUCAAAACUGCAUCCCUUGAGUAUCGGAGAGGCAAGCGGAAUUCCUAGUGUAGCGGUGAAAUGCGUAGAUAUUAGGAGGAACACCAGUGGCGAAGGCGGCUUGCUGGACGACAACUGACGCUGAGGCGCGAAAGCGUGGGGAGCAAACAGG